RNAcentral lists this ribosomal RNA (243 nucleotides) under uncultured microorganism. RNAcentral describes it as "partial 16S ribosomal RNA". It matches the Rfam family "Bacterial small subunit ribosomal RNA", at positions 9 to 253 of the family's 1533-position model. The record is from RNAcentral.
GAGUUUGAUCGUGGCUCAGGACGAACGCUGGCGGCGUGCCUAAUACAUGCAAGUCGAGCGAGGGUUUUUAAGACCCUAGCGGCGGACGGGUGAGUAACACGUAGGCAACCUGCCUCUCAGACCGGGAUAACAUAGGGAAACUUAUGCUAAUACCGGAUAGGUUUUUGGAUUGCAUGAUCCGAAAAGAAAGAUGGCUUUUCGCUAUCACUGGGAGAUGGGCCUGCGGCGCAUUAGCUAGUUGGU